Molecule: long non-coding RNA, 689 nt
Organism: Aquila chrysaetos chrysaetos
Lineage: Eukaryota; Metazoa; Chordata; Aves; Accipitriformes; Accipitridae
Exons: 2
Source: RefSeq, a predicted model, not a curated record
CGCGGUGCUGCGCGGCGUGGGGGUGGGGGUGGGGCACCCUCCCUCUCCACCCUCUGGGGCAACGCACGGUCCUCCAGAAAUCUCACUCCUGGCUUCCCCUGGCAGCACAUGCCAGCCUGCGAGCCCGGCGUGAAUGCAGCCAGAGACACCAUCAGGUUCGUCUCCAGAAAGAAACUGUGAACGUGCACGGCCUCCUCGUGCUUCCCUCUGUCGACCCACGGCAAUACUACCGACACAUGAGCUGGGGUGACACUGACUGAGCAACCAGGUCCUGCAAGUGGUUUUCUUCCACAGCAAAGCAACCCACUUCUACGUGCAAUCCUGGUGCAUCAAAGUGUAACUGCCUUUUGUCACCCUGAGAAAACACCACUAUAAACACCUACCUCAGCUCAUUCCCUUCACCCAGAGCUCCUUCACAAGGAGUGCCCACUGCCUCCUGUCACAACUGCCAUGGUGUCUGGCCAAAGCUCACCACGGGGCCUGCGGUCCCCUUCAUGUAUGGCUUCUCUGGAUCUGUGAAGUGGCACUGCAGGAAGAUGGGCAGUCGGCUGCAAAGCACACCUCUCAGCCACAGCAAGAAAACAAAGAGCAAAAUGUCUCAAUAGCUAAGAAGAAAGGAAGUGUGCUAACAAAACCAAACCUGUAAUGACUUUUUCCACGUGGUAAGAAUAAAAGAUUAUUUCCAAGGA